Long non-coding RNA from Coregonus clupeaformis (lake whitefish), 746 nucleotides. RefSeq lists it as uncharacterized. The transcript is spliced from 3 exons. The record is from RefSeq and is a predicted model, not a curated record. NCBI's taxonomy places the organism in Eukaryota, Metazoa, Chordata, Actinopteri, Salmoniformes, Salmonidae.
UGGGCGGGCGAGCAUAAUCCACCAUCGUAGUACAGAUGAAUCCUGAAUUGCUUCGUAGUAUACAACUAUGGGGACAGACACUACGAGAGACACACUGACACACACACUAACCACCAUUCCCUUGUAUCUCUCUCUGUUAGUCUAAUGGAUGGGAUGCCAGUGAGAUGUUCAACUACGGAGUCAACUCCACCUAUGGCUUCCUCUUCAUGUACACCUGAGUAUUCUCCUCAGUCUGUGUCUUUUUAGAAGUGUUCCUCUGGAGAGGCCUGCCUCAGAUGAAUGAGACCGAGGGCAACCUCCAGAUACCACCACCUCGUCUCACUAAACAACAAUGAAGGCAAGACUGAGGAGUACAAGUACAGUACCAUGGUCUAAGACAGAGAGGCGACAUGAAUGAGUAGUGACGAUGGCAGGUGAUUCUCUAGAGGACUCUAUUCCUCGGAAUGCAAUUAGUUUAAUCAGGUGUGUUAGCUGGGGUAUGGGAAAAAGUGUGACACCAAUCAGGCCCCCGAGGGCUGGAGUGCCACGUUGAGGAUGACCAGAUCGAGAUGGAAUCAACAGACUCGACACAAGAUCCAGCUUGAUCUGAUUCAGGGCUCUCCUGGAGUGUUACCAUCUCGUAGGUUUUCUCCAACCCUAAUCUAGUGUACCUGAUUCUAAUAACUAACGGAUUGAUAAGCUACAGUAGUGUAACUCUCCAGCAGAUCUGAACCGCCACCUAGUCCCCACACCCUUUUAUCUUGUAA